RNAcentral lists this ribosomal RNA (466 nucleotides) under uncultured bacterium. RNAcentral describes it as "bacterial SSU rRNA". It matches the Rfam family "Bacterial small subunit ribosomal RNA", at positions 1 to 507 of the family's 1533-position model. The record is from RNAcentral.
AGACGUCUACGAGUUUGAUCAUGGUUCAGAACGAACGCUGGCGGCAUGCCUAACACAUGCAAGUCGAACGAAGGCUUCGGCCUUAGUGGCGCACGGGUGCGUAACGCGUGGGAACCUGCCCCUCGGUUCGGAAUAACAGUUAGAAAUAGACUGCUAAUACCGGAUGAUGACUUCGGUUCAAAGAUUUAUCGCCGAGGGAUGGGCCCGCGUAGGAUUAGCUAGUUGGUGGGGUAAAGGCCUACCAAGGCGACGAUCCUUAGCUGGUCUGAGAGGAUGAUCAGCCACACUGGGACUGAGACACGGCCCAGACUCCUACGGGAGGCAGCAGUGGGGAAUAUUGGACAAUGGGCGAAAGCCUGAUCCAGCAAUGCCGCGUGAGUGAUGAAGGCCUUAGGGUUGUAAAGACUCUUUUACCUAGGGAGUGAUAAUGACAGUACCUGGAGAAUAAGCUCCGGCUAACUCCGUG